RNAcentral lists this microRNA precursor (104 nucleotides) under Marmota monax (woodchuck). The record is from RNAcentral. Lineage: Eukaryota; Metazoa; Chordata; Mammalia; Rodentia; Sciuridae.
AAUGGAAUUGUUGUAUCAUAUGGUAAAUUUAUGUUUAGUUUUUUUAAGAAACUGCUAAACUGUUUCCCAAACCUAUGGUGCCCGUUUACAUUUUCACUGGCAAU